This 403-nucleotide ribosomal RNA is filed under the name bacterium. Its description in RNAcentral is "partial 16S ribosomal RNA". It matches the Rfam family "Bacterial small subunit ribosomal RNA", at positions 355 to 776 of the family's 1533-position model. The record is from RNAcentral.
UGGGGAAUAUUGCACAAUGGGGGAAACCCUGAUGCAGCGACGCCGCGUGAACGAAGAAGGUAUUCGUAUCGUAAAGUUCUGUCCUAUGGGAAGAUAAUGACAGUACCAUAGAAGAAAGCUCCGGCUAAAUACGUGCCAGCAGCCGCGGUAAUACGUAUGGAGCGCGCGUUGUCCGGAAUUAUUGGGCGUAAAGGGUACGCAGGCGGUUUAAUAAGUCGAAUGUUAAAGAUCGGGGCUCAACCCCGCAAAGCAUUGGAAACUGAUAAACUUAAGUAGGGGAGAGGAAAGUGGAAUUCCUAGUGUAGUGGUGAAAUACGUAGAUAUUAGGAGGAAUACCAGUAGCGAAGGCGACUUUCUGGACACAAACUGACGCUGAGGUACGAAAGAGUGGGGAGCAAACAGG